UCCUAACUUAAGUAGCAAAAAUUAAAUUAAUUCCACAAAUUGCAAAAAGUGUCAAAAUCGAAAUUUUUUGAAAAUUCACAAAAAAUUGUUAAUAACUUUUCUUGCUUUAAAGUAUCACAUUGAAUAUAGCUUAGUAUGUCCUAAAAGAUGUAUUUAAAAAUUGUAGGAGUGUUUUUUCGAGAAAUCUGCAUUUUACCUUCACACCGUAACCAUUUUGUAAAGAAAUUCAGCUGCCCAAAAGUCAAAAACCAAUCUGAAACUGUGCGCAUGGUUAAAGGUUUAUCUAGCACUUCUUUGACAACACAAUUUAAAAAAGAGAGGAGUGGGAAAAAUUGAACUCGGGAAACGAAGUUACCGAGGAGAGAGUUACCGUCAAAGCCGACUCCAAUUUGUAUUUCCCAGGAGUUGAAAAGUUUCGCCGAGCGCUCAAUGAAGCCAGUGAGGUGGAUGCUGAAGGGCGAAGUUCUUGCUUUAUGGUUUAUCUCUCCAACUUGACGGAAAUUGACUACAGCGCACUUAAAAUGCUUGUAUCCGUGGCGUCUCAGUGUCACAAAAACAAUCUGUGCUACAUUUCGUCAAUGCUACUCCAAUUGAUUUCUUUUACCCUACCAUCGGCAGAUAUAGCAUUUUUGCCCAAGGUGGAUAAAGAUUACGUAACAAAAGAAAUCCAGAUGGAAGAAAUUGCCGCUUAAGUUCUACUUUAGAAGGUAACACCCGUGGAUUGAGGUACAAGAGUGACGGGAAAAUUAUAGUUCUUAAUGAGGAGAAAACCUGGAGAAAUGCGCGAGUUCUUUUAAACGCAAUUAUAAACAAAAAACAGUGUAGAGAUAAAUUGUUUCUUUAUUUCACUUUAUGUAUUGAAGUUCAUUUGAUGGACCUAAAUAUCGGUUAGUUAUUGAAUCCGUUAGUUAUAUUACACUGUAGCCAAAUUGGAUUAAAAGGAUGAAUUACACAGCUUUGUAUUUCUU
Long non-coding RNA from Daphnia pulex (common water flea), 968 nucleotides. RefSeq lists it as uncharacterized. The transcript is spliced from 5 exons. NCBI's taxonomy places the organism in Eukaryota, Metazoa, Arthropoda, Branchiopoda, Diplostraca, Daphniidae. The record is from RefSeq and is a predicted model, not a curated record.